RNAcentral lists this transfer RNA (84 nucleotides) under Candidatus Zixiibacteriota bacterium. RNAcentral's name for it is "candidate division Zixibacteria bacterium tRNA-Leu". It matches the Rfam family "tRNA". From Rfam's summary of the family: Transfer RNA (tRNA) molecules are approximately 80 nucleotides in length. Their secondary structure includes four short double-helical elements and three loops (D, anti-codon, and T loops). The record is from RNAcentral. Lineage: Bacteria; Pseudomonadati; Candidatus Zixiibacteriota.
GCCGAAGUGGUGGAACUGGUAGACACGCUGUGUUCAGGGCGCAGUGCUCGUAAGGGUGUGUGGGUUCGAAUCCCACCUUCGGCA